This 458-nucleotide ribosomal RNA is filed under the name uncultured bacterium. RNAcentral's name for it is "partial 16S ribosomal RNA". It matches the Rfam family "Bacterial small subunit ribosomal RNA", at positions 338 to 795 of the family's 1533-position model. The record is from RNAcentral.
CCUACGGGUGGCAGCAGUGGGGAAUAUUGCACAAUGGGGGAAACCCUGAUGCAGCGACGCCGCGUGAGUGAAGAAGUAAUUCGUUACGUAAAGCUCUAUCAGCAGGGAAGAAACACUGACCUUACGGUCAGCAGACGGUACCUGAGUAAGAAGCACCGGCUAACUACGUGCCAGCAGCCGCGGUCAGCCGGCGCGGGCAAGCGUUAUCCGGAUUUACUGGGGGUAAAGGGAGCGUAGACGGUGCGCCAAGUCUGGAGUGAAAUGCCGCAGCUUACAUGCGGAACUGCGUUGGAAACUGGCGAACGAGAGUGCGUGAGGUGUAAGCGGAAUUCCUGGUGUAGCGGUGAAAUGCGUAGAUAUUAGGAGGAACACCGGUGGCGAAGGCGGCUUACUGGACCGUAACUGACGUUGAGGCUCGAAAGCGUGGGGAGCAAACAGGAUUAGAUACCCGUGUAGUC